AUUGCAUAGGGUGGGCAUUUACAAAUGAGGUCCCUAAGUCUCUUCCAUGUUUCAUGAAAUAAUUCUUCAUCCAUUUGAGAAAAACUAGUGAUGGUUUUUUUAAUUU
Small nucleolar RNA from Elaeis guineensis (African oil palm), 106 nucleotides. The record is from RefSeq and is a predicted model, not a curated record. Lineage: Eukaryota; Viridiplantae; Streptophyta; Magnoliopsida; Arecales; Arecaceae.